CCUACGGGAGGCAGCAGUGAGGAAUAUUGGUCAAUGGCCGGAAGGCUGAACCAGCCAAGCCGCGUGAAGGACGAAGGUGCCCAGCAUUGUAAACUUCUUUUGUCAAGGGACAAAAUCAGGCUCGAGAGCCUGACCGAGGGUCCUUGAAGAAAAAGCAUCGGCUAACUCCGUGCCAGCAGCCGCGGUAAUACGGAGGAUGCGAGCGUUAUCCGGAUUUAUUGGGUUUAAAGGGUGCGUAGGCGGGCUGUUAAGUCAGCGGGAAAAGCCCGGGGCUCAACCCCGGCGAGCCGUUGAAACUGUCUGUCUUGAGAUGUCGAGAGGUAUGCGGAAUGCGCAGUGUAGCGGUGAAAUGCUUAGAUAUUGCGCAGAACUCCGAUUGCGAAGGCAGCAUACCGGCGGCGAUCUGACGCUGAAGCACGAAAGCGUGGGUAUCGAACAGGAUUAGAUACCCCUGUAGUC
RNAcentral lists this ribosomal RNA (459 nucleotides) under uncultured bacterium. Its description in RNAcentral is "partial 16S ribosomal RNA". It matches the Rfam family "Bacterial small subunit ribosomal RNA", at positions 338 to 795 of the family's 1533-position model. The record is from RNAcentral.